Molecule: long non-coding RNA, 1677 nt
Filed under: Olea europaea subsp. europaea
Lineage: Eukaryota; Viridiplantae; Streptophyta; Magnoliopsida; Lamiales; Oleaceae
Source: RNAcentral
GAAGCCCUCCUCAUUCAGAAACAACGAAGAAGAAGGAGAACGAGAUUAAUUGUGAAAAUUUUAUUUUGGUUUCAACUCACUUGGUAAGUACUUCAUUGUCAAAAAUAUGUAAGAAUAAAUACUUUUUUUUUUUUUCUAAUGGUUUUGGUAUGCCUCAAGUUUCUUAUAGAUUUGAUUCAGGCAUUUUCUUCCGAAAAGAAUACCCUGUUGUGGUUGCAAAGGACACAUAGUUUUUCCAACUGCUGAUUUUGGUAUGUGGCCCCUUUAUCUUAUACUUGCAUAUAGCUUCUUUAUGUACUGCCCGUUUGUUUAGGAGAUGCGAAGUGUUAUUCUUUUUUGCUAAAUGUGAUCUUUGUAAUUUGUAUGAUUGAUGUUGUUGUUGACAAUUGUAGGAAGCUGGAUGUGUUAUUUUUUAUGAUUGAAGGUGCUGUUGUUGUGUUUUUUUGACCUGUUAGGAAUGGUCUCUUGUUUUACUUUCACAAAAUGUUACUCUGGUUCUUUGUAUCAUUUUUUUAUACUUGGGAUAACAUACAAGCUCAUAUAAUGCUAAAUUCAAUUGAAAAUUCAGCAUGGUACAAUGAUGCCAUUAAUGGAACCAUGUCUGGCUGUAAUGCUAAUGCACAUGUUAUAACUAACAAUUGAGUGCUUAGAAGGAUUCUGUGUUUAUUAUCCUUUCUAAAAUGUAUACUAUUGGUCAUGUUGUUAAGAUCAAAGUUGAUUGUGUUUAGGAUUUGACAAGUCUGGAAAAUUAUUCAGUAAUUAGUAUUUAUCAUAAAGUUUGAGACCAAACGGCUUUUAUAUCAUUUAGACAAAGUGAUAUUUAUAUGCUAAUAGAGGAGCCUAUCUAGGCCAUUAAUAUAACAUCUACCAUGUAGUAGUUGGGUUUCGUGGUUAGUGGAACCAAACUAGGCCACUGGGUUUUGUAACAUCUACCUUUGUAGUUGGGUUUUGUGGAGAUGACUCAAGCAACCAAGAAUAAGAUUUGUCUAUUGUCAUUUUGAGGAACAAGGAUUGCUGUUGCUGCCUUUUUUUUUUUUCCUGUUUUUUAUUACCUUUGAAAAAUGGAUUUAUGUUUUCAAAUGUUGAAAAAUGGAAUGAUGUUAAAAACCAAUUUCUUAAUUUAAUUGUGAAUUUCUUUAUGUUUGGAGGAUACCAUUUGUUUCUACCAAGUCCAGCUGGUACAGAGUUGCAAAUUGGAGGCAUCAGUUUGUUCUAGGUAAUAGAAUUAUGGUAAAAAAUCAACAUGGCUCUAGAAAUGUGAGAAGCCCGAUUAUGCCAUUUUUUUGCUUCUUGAAAAAGUGAUCUAAAGUCAAAUCAUCAACCAAAUUUUGUCCCUUUUUAUGAUCUUUCUGCAGGAUGGAGUACAUAUACGACAUCAAUGAUCGAUGUGAUGCGAAGGUCACGGCACAUUCUAAAGUGUCAAGUGUGGAGAAAGUAUAUGAUGCAUUUGAUGAUGUUCAUAAGGAGAUGUUCUUGAAUUCAUGCUUCGGUAAAUUAUACAUUAGAAAUAUGAAAAUAUCUGCCCAACUAAUUUGCAACUUGUUAUUACGACUAAUUGUCUCUGUGAACGAGGAUGAACUAUGAUUUUGUUUAAUAUUGGAAAAAGUUGUCCGUUUCCUUUUGUACGAGUUUACGUUCGUUACAGGGUUAAGUCUUAUUAAUGAGGAGGAGUAUCAG